This 77-nucleotide transfer RNA is filed under the name Nitrososphaerota archaeon. Its description in RNAcentral is "Thaumarchaeota archaeon tRNA-Ala". It matches the Rfam family "tRNA". From Rfam's summary of the family: Transfer RNA (tRNA) molecules are approximately 80 nucleotides in length. Their secondary structure includes four short double-helical elements and three loops (D, anti-codon, and T loops). Further hydrogen bonds mediate the characteristic L-shaped molecular structure. tRNAs have two regions of fundamental functional importance: the anti-codon, which is responsible for specific mRNA codon recognition, and the 3' end, to which the tRNAs corresponding amino acid is attached (by aminoacyl-tRNA synthetases). tRNAs cope with the degeneracy of the genetic code in two manners: having more than one tRNA (with a specific anti-codon) for a particular amino acid; and 'wobble' base-pairing, i.e. permitting non-standard base-pairing at the 3rd anti-codon position. The record is from RNAcentral. Lineage: Archaea; Thermoproteati; Nitrososphaerota.
GGGCCGGUCGUCUAGACUGGUAGGAUACGCCCUUGGCAUGGGCGAGAUCGUGGGUUCAAAUCCCACCCGGUCCACCA